UGAAAAUAUUGCACCAAUGGGCGAAAGCUUGAUGCAGCGACGCCCGCGUGAGGGAUGAAGGUCUUCGGAUUGUAAACCUCUUUCAGUAGGGACGAAGCGAAAGUGACGGUACCUAAAGAAGAAGCACCGGCUAACUACGUGCCAGCAGCCGCGGUAAUACGUAGGGUGCAAGCGUUGUCCGGAUUUAUUGGGCGUAAAGAGCUCGUAGGCGGUUAGACACGUCGGAUGUGAAAACUGGUGGCUCAACCACCAGCCUGCAUUCGAUACGGUCUGACUUGAAUGUGGUAGGGGUAACUGGAAUUCCUGGUGUAGCGGUGAAAUGCGCAGAUAUCAGGAGGAACACCGAUGGCGAAGGCAGGUUACUGGGCCAAUAUUGACGCUGAGGAGCGAAAGCGUGGGGAGCGAACAGGAUUAGAUACCCUGAUAGUCCACGCCGUAAACGGUGGGCACUGGUUGUGGGAACCUUUCCAUGGUUUCUGCGACGCAGCUAACGCAUUAAGUGCCCCGCCUGGGGAGUACGGCCGCAAGGCUAAAACUCAAAGGAAUUGACGGGGGCCCGCACAAGCAGCGGAGCAUGCGGCUUAAUUCGAUGCAACGCGAAGAACCUUACCUAGGCUUGACAUGUAGAGAAAUCUCACAGGGAUGUGAGGUCCGUAAGGGCUCUACACAGGUGGUGCAUGGUUGUCGUCAGCUCGUGUCGUGAGAUGUUGGGUUAAGUCCCGCAACGAGCGCAACCCUCGUCCUAUGUUGCCAGCAUUUAGUUGGGGACUCAUAGGAGACUGCCGGGGUCAACUCGGAGGAAGGUGGGGAUGACGUCAAAUCAUCAUGCCCCUUAUGCCUAGGGCUGCACGCAUGCUACAAUGGCCGAUACAAAGGGCUGCGAUACCGUAAGGUGGAGCGAAUCCCAUAAAGUCGGUCUCAGUUCGGAUUGGGGUCUGCAACUCGACCCCAUGAAGUUGGAGUUGCUAGUAAUCGCAGAUCAGCAACGCUGCGGUGAAUGUGUUCC
Molecule: ribosomal RNA, 1006 nt
Filed under: uncultured bacterium
Lineage: Bacteria
Description: bacterial SSU rRNA
Rfam family: Bacterial small subunit ribosomal RNA
Source: RNAcentral